RNAcentral lists this ribosomal RNA (461 nucleotides) under uncultured bacterium. RNAcentral describes it as "bacterial SSU rRNA". It matches the Rfam family "Bacterial small subunit ribosomal RNA", at positions 340 to 788 of the family's 1533-position model. The record is from RNAcentral.
UACGGAAGGCAGCAGUGGGGAAUAUUGCACAAUGGGCGAAAGCCUGAUGCAGCUAUGCCGCGUGUAUGAAGAAGGCCUUAGGGUUGUAAAGUACUUUCAUCGGGGAGGAAAAAACAAAACUAAUAAUUUUAUUUCUUGACGUUACCCGAAAAAGAAGCACCGGCUAACUCCGUGCCAGCAGCCGCGGUAAUACGGAGGGUGCUAGCGUUAAUCAGAAUUACUGGGCGUAAAGAGCACGUAGGUGGUUUUUUUAAGUCAGAUGUGAAAUCCCUGGGCUUUAACCUAGGAACUGCAUUUUGAAACUGAAAUACUAGAGUAUCGUAGAGGGAGGUAGAAUUCUAGGUGUAGCGGUGAAAUGCGUAGAUAUCUGGAGGAAUACCGUGUGGCGAAAGCGGCCUCCUAAACGAAUACUGACACUGAGGGUGCGAAAGCGUGGGGAGCAAACAGGGAUUAGAUACCCG